Molecule: unclassified non-coding RNA, 340 nt
Filed under: soil metagenome
Description: partial contains 5.8S ribosomal RNA, internal transcribed spacer 2, and large subunit ribosomal RNA
Rfam family: 5.8S ribosomal RNA (bases 4-121)
Source: RNAcentral
GAUUGAAGAACGCAGCGAAAUGCGAUAAUUAAUGUGAAUUGCAGAAUUCCGUGAAUCAUCGAGUUUUUGAACGCAUAUUGCGCCCCUUGGUAUUCCGAGGGGCAUGCCUGUCCGAGCGUCAUUGCAACCCUUCAAGCACGGCUUGUGUGUUGGACGGCCGCCCCAGUGUGGGCGGGUCCCAAAUGCAGUGGCGGCGCCGCGAUCCGGGUGCUCGAGUGCAUGGAAACCACGCGCUCGUUAGGCCCCGUCGGGCGCCGGCCGACCUAAUUAUCUUCGUUCUGGUUGACCUCGGAUCAGGUAGGAAUACCCGCUGAACUUAAGCAUAUCAAUAAGCGGAGGA